RNAcentral lists this ribosomal RNA (253 nucleotides) under uncultured bacterium. RNAcentral's name for it is "partial 16S ribosomal RNA". It matches the Rfam family "Bacterial small subunit ribosomal RNA", at positions 524 to 776 of the family's 1533-position model. The record is from RNAcentral.
UACGUAGGGUGCAAGCGUUGUCCGGAAUUAUUGGGCGUAAAGAGCUCGUAGGCGGUCUGUCGCGUCGGCUGUGAAAACCCGGAGCUCAACUCCGGGCCUGCAGUCGAUACGGGCAAACUGGAGUGUUGCAGGGGAGACUGGAAUUCCUGGUGUAGCGGUGAAAUGCGCAGAUAUCAGGAGGAACACCGGUGGCGAAGGCGGUUCUCUGGGACGGUACUGACGCUGAGACGCGAAAGCGUGGGGAGCGAACAGG